RNAcentral lists this ribosomal RNA (752 nucleotides) under Moniliophthora roreri. RNAcentral's name for it is "eukaryotic LSU rRNA". The stretch from base 269 to 422 matches the Rfam family "5.8S ribosomal RNA". The record is from RNAcentral. Lineage: Eukaryota; Fungi; Basidiomycota; Agaricomycetes; Agaricales; Marasmiaceae.
AAAGUCGUAACAAGGUUUCCGUAGGUGAACCUGCGGAAGGAUCAUUAUUGAAAACAUUGUAAAGGAGGUUUUGAGCUGGCUCUUCUUAGGGGCAUGUGCUCGCCGACUUUCAAUCUUCAUCCACCUGUGAACCUUUUGUAGUGGAUUCUGGAACGGGGAGGCGCUUGCGUUUUCUCAGUACGGAGUCUCACUAUGUUUUAACACACACUUAAUGUAUGUUUAGAAUGUGUAUUUUAUUGGGACUUAAUUGACCCUUUAAAAACUAUACAACUUUCAGCAACGGAUCUCUUGGCUCUCGCAUCGAUGAAGAACGCAGCGAAAUGCGAUAAGUAAUGUGAAUUGCAGAAUUCAGUGAAUCAUCGAAUCUUUGAACGCACCUUGCGCCUCUUGGUAUUCCGAGAGGCAUGCCUGUUUGAGUGUCAUUAAAUUCUCAACCUCAAAAAAGCUUUUUCGGCUUUGUUUGAGGAUUGGAUGUGAGGGUUGCUGGCUUUUGAAUAAAGAGUCGGCUCCCUUGAAAUGCAUUAGUGGAAACCGGUUGGUAGACCACAUUGGUGUGAUAAUUAUCUACGCCAUUAGUCUACGUUUUUUCGAAUGUUGGCCUAGCUAACACUUCGGUUUGGGGGGCUUGCAAGUUUGUAAUGAACCUGCUCUCUCUGUUAUUGAACGGUAUCUGCUUCAAACUGUCCUAAGUUUAUUGGACAACAAUUAGAUCAUUUUGACCUCAAAUCACGUAGGACUACCCGCUGAACUUA